GAGAUCUUCGCCUCGUCUGAUCUCCAGCCUCCCGCGGACUUCCUCCUGGCGCCCCUGGGAGACCACAACGCCACCAAGAGAGGCAUCUUCGACAAGUCGUGCAAGGGCGUCUUCGACCGGAAGAGCUACGUCGAGCUGAGCGGAUUUGCGACGACUGUUACAACCUCUACCGGAGGCCCUACGUCUCCAUCAACUGCAGGAGGAAAUGCUACAGGAACAUGGUCUUCCGAAAAUGCAUCCGGGACCUUCAGAUGGAGGAGAAGCUCCCCUACAUCGCCAGAAUCGUCCAGAUGUACGGGAAGUAGGUCUUCUACAGAGGAAUCGCCACCAUUCGUCAUCUUUACCAGCGCACCGUCGUAGCUAUAAACCUAUACGGAUGUCCCGGGCAACUCGAUGAUUAUCGAGUUCCUCAGUGGUCUUCGGAGACUGAAAGAUCAUCGAGUUCUUCAUGUUCUUCAGUGGUCUUUGGAGACUUUCGAAGAUCAUCGAGUUCCUCGGGUUCUUCAAUAGUCUUCGGAGACUUCGAAGAUCAUAGAGUUCUUGAGUGGUCUUUAGAGAAUUCGAAGAUUACCGAGCUCUUCGGUAGUUUUAGAAGGCUUCGAAGAUUAUAGAAUUCCACAGUGGUCUUCGGAGACUCCGAAGACCAUCGAGUUCUCCAGUGGUCUUCGGAGACUUCGAAGAUUAUCGAGUUCUUCAGUGGUCUUCAGAGACUGCGAAGAUCAUCGAGUCCUUCAGGUUCUUCAGUGGUCUUCGGAGACUUCGAAGAUCAUCGAGUUCUUCAGCGGUCUUUGGAGACUUCGAAGGUUAUCAAGUUCCUCAGUGGUCUUCGGAAACUUCGAAGUUUAUAGAAUUCUAUAGUGGUCUUCGGAAACUUCGAAGAUUAUCGAGUUCUUCAGUGGUCUUUGAAGACUUCGAAGAUUAUAGAAUUCCACAGUGGUCUUUGGAGACUUCGAAGAUUAUAGAAUUCCACAGUGGUCUUCGGAAACUUCGAGGAUUAUCGAGUUCCACAGUGGUCUUCGGAAACUUAGAAGAUUAUCAAGUUCCACAGUGGUCUUCGGAAGAUUCGAGAAUUAUCAAGUUCUUCAGUGGUCUUCGGAAACUUCGAAAAUUAUCGAUUUCUCCAGCGGUCUUUGGUGACUCCGGUCUGCGACGUUGGGACCUUUUUCCCUUUUUAUUUCUUACUUAAUUUCUAUGUAUCCACUUAAGUCUCGUUGUGACGGCUUCUCAAAUGAUCUAGACAACCGAAGGACUAAAGAUAUCUUAACCACGCUGCCUAAAUUGCUUUAAGUUCCAAAAUAAAGAAAAUAUUUUGAGAGUUUCAGACUUCUCUGUAACUGUGGAAGACUGUCAAAACAGCAAGAAAUUUCUUUAGACUCUUUUACACACAAACGGUCCACGGACAAUUUCGAAAACAUUUCUUCUCUAAUUUUGACCAGAUAUAACAGAAGGAGGUUUGACUAUUACUGCUGUGUAUGUCAGUUUUUCAUUCUGACAAAUUCUGAAUGCCCUGUUCAUUUGCUCAGAGGGAAGAUGCCUCAUGGAUCCUGUAGUAUAAAAGUCUGUCUCCACUCAGUCGGCCUUACUUCUGCCAGGAGUCGAGCAAAAGAUCGAUCACUGUAGAGUUUCAAAAUAUGCCUUCGUUUUCACCAACCAAUUUUUACUUUUUAUUAUUAAGAGAUCAAGAUCAUUUCGCAGGUCCCUUGAUCGCUUUUUUGUUUGUUGCCGCAAGAGAAGGGGUCACCACUUUGAUAACAGAUGUGACGACAAAAACAAUUCUACCAAAAUACUCUUGUAUUGGAUUUGAAGCCAAAGACUAUCUAUUGUGAUAUUUAUAAUACAGAGCAAAGCAUAAU
Macrobrachium nipponense is the source of this 1853-nucleotide long non-coding RNA. RefSeq lists it as uncharacterized. NCBI's taxonomy places the organism in Eukaryota, Metazoa, Arthropoda, Malacostraca, Decapoda, Palaemonidae. The transcript has 2 exons. The record is from RefSeq and is a predicted model, not a curated record.